This 475-nucleotide ribosomal RNA is filed under the name uncultured bacterium. RNAcentral describes it as "bacterial SSU rRNA". It matches the Rfam family "Bacterial small subunit ribosomal RNA", at positions 30 to 497 of the family's 1533-position model. The record is from RNAcentral.
AUUGAACGCUGGCGGCAUGCCUAACACAUGCAAGUCGAACGGCAGCACGGGAGCUUGCUCCUGGUGGCGAGUGGCGGACGGGUGAGUAAUGCAUAGGAAUCUGCCCAGUAGCGGGGGACAACUUGGGGAAACUCAAGCUAAUACCGCAUACGCCCUACGGGGAAAGCGGGGGACCUUCGGGCCUCGCACUAUUGGAUGAGCCUAUGUCAGAUUAGCUUGUUGGUGGGUAAAGGCCUACCAAGGCGACGAUCUGUAGCUGGUCUGAGAGGACGAUCAGCCACACUGGGACUGAGGCACGGCCCAGACUCCUACGGGAGGCAGCAGUGGGGAAUAUUGCACAAUGGGCGAAAGCCUGAUGCAGCAAUGCCGCGUGUGUAGAAGAAGGCCUGAGGGUUGUAAAGCACUUUCAAUCGUGAAGAAAAGUUGCAGGCUAAUACCCUGUGACCUUGACGUUAACGAUACAAGAAGCACCGGC